GAUGAACGCUGGCGGCGUGCCUAAUACAUGCAAGUCGAGCGAACGGACGAGAAGCUUGCUUCUCUGAUGUUAGCGGCGGACGGGUGAGUAACACGUGGAUAACCUACCUAUAAGACUGGGAUAACUUCGGGAAACCGGAGCUAAUACCGGAUAAUAUUUUGAACCGCAUGGUUCAAAAGUGAAAGACGGUCUUGCUGUCACUUAUAGAUGGAUCCGCGCUGCAUUAGCUAGUUGGUAAGGUAACGGCUUACCAAGGCAACGAUGCAUAGCCGACCUGAGAGGGUGAUCGGCCACACUGGAACUGAGACACGGUCCAGACUCCUACGGGAGGCAGCAGUAGGGAAUCUUCCGCAAUGGGCGAAAGCCUGACGGAGCAACGCCGCGUGAGUGAUGAAGGUCUUCGGACCGUAAAACUCUGUUAUUAGGGAAGAACAUAUGUGUAAGUAACUGUGCACAUCCUGACGGUACCUAAUCAGAAAGCCACGGCUAACUACGUG
RNAcentral lists this ribosomal RNA (497 nucleotides) under uncultured bacterium. RNAcentral's name for it is "partial 16S ribosomal RNA". It matches the Rfam family "Bacterial small subunit ribosomal RNA", at positions 28 to 507 of the family's 1533-position model. The record is from RNAcentral.